GACGAACCGUGCGAACGUUAUUCGGAAUCACUGGGCUUACAGAGUUCGUAGGCGGUUCUACAAGGGGGGUGUGAAAGCCCUCGGCUCAACCGAGGAACUGCGCUCCAAACUGUAGAACUAGAGGGAGAUAGAGGUGAGCGGAACUGAUGGUGGAGCGGUGAAAUGCGUUGAUAUCAUCAGGAACACCGGAGGCGAAGGCGGCUCACUGGGUCUCUUCUGACGCUGAGGAACGAAAGCUAGGGGAGCAAACGGG
RNAcentral lists this ribosomal RNA (253 nucleotides) under uncultured bacterium. RNAcentral's name for it is "partial 16S ribosomal RNA". It matches the Rfam family "Bacterial small subunit ribosomal RNA", at positions 524 to 776 of the family's 1533-position model. The record is from RNAcentral.